This 255-nucleotide ribosomal RNA is filed under the name uncultured bacterium. RNAcentral describes it as "partial 16S ribosomal RNA". It matches the Rfam family "Bacterial small subunit ribosomal RNA", at positions 524 to 776 of the family's 1533-position model. The record is from RNAcentral.
UACGGAGGGGACUAGCGUUGUUCGGAAUUACUGGGCGUAAAGCGCACGUAGGCGGAUUUGUAAGUCAGGGGUGAAAUCCCGGGGCUCAACCUCGGAACUGCCUUUGAUACUGCAAAUCUCGAGUCCGGAAGAGGUGAGUGGAAUUCCUAGUGUAGAGGUGAAAUUCGUAGAUAUUAGGAAGAACACCAGUGGCGAAGGCGGCAUCACUGGUCCGGUACUGACGCGUGAGGUGCGAAAGCGUGGGGAGCAAACAGG